Diceros bicornis minor is the source of this 163-nucleotide small nuclear RNA. RefSeq annotates it as U1 spliceosomal RNA. The transcript has a single exon. NCBI's taxonomy places the organism in Eukaryota, Metazoa, Chordata, Mammalia, Perissodactyla, Rhinocerotidae. The record is from RefSeq and is a predicted model, not a curated record.
ACACUUACCGGACAGCGGAGAUACCGUCAUCACAAAAGUGGUUUUCCCAUGAGCGAGGCUCGACUAUUGCACUCGGGCCAUGCUGACCCCUGCGGUUUCCCCACGUGUGGGAAAUUUGAUUGUGGGAUUUCUCCUAGUGGGAGACUGCGUUCGCCUUCUCCCC